UUGCUCGCUUUGGUGACACAUAUACUAUAUUGGAAUGAUACAGAGAAGAUUAGCAUGAACCUUGAGCAAGAACGACACAUAAAUUCGUGAAGUUUUCAUAUAAAAA
RNAcentral lists this small nuclear RNA (106 nucleotides) under Pteropus vampyrus (large flying fox). Lineage: Eukaryota; Metazoa; Chordata; Mammalia; Chiroptera; Pteropodidae. The record is from RNAcentral.